AUGAACGCUGGCGGCGUGCCUAAUACAUGCAAGUCGCGCGAACAGACGAGGAGCUUGCUCCUCUGACGUUAGCGGCGGACGGGUGAGUAACACGUGGAUAACCUACCUAUAAGACUGGGAUAACUUCGGGAAACCGGAGCUAAUACCGGAUAAUAUAUUGAACCGCAUGGUUCAAUAGUGACAGACGGUUUUGCUGUCACUUAUAGAUGGAUCCGCGCCGCAUUAGCUAGUUGGUAAGGUAACGGCUUACCAAGGCAACGAUGCGUAGCCGACCUGAGAGGGUGAUCGGCCACACUGGAACUGAGACACGGUCCAGACUCCUACGGGAGGCAGCAGUAGGGAAUCUUCCGCAAUGGGCGAAAGCCUGACGGAGCAACGCCGCGUGAGUGAUGAAGGUCUUCGGAUCGUAAAACUCUGUUAUUAGGGAAGAACAAAUGUGUAAGUAACUAUGCACGUCUUGACGGUACCUAAUCAGAAAGCCACGGCUAACUACGUG
RNAcentral lists this ribosomal RNA (496 nucleotides) under uncultured bacterium. Its description in RNAcentral is "partial 16S ribosomal RNA". It matches the Rfam family "Bacterial small subunit ribosomal RNA", at positions 29 to 507 of the family's 1533-position model. The record is from RNAcentral.